Non-coding RNA from Physcomitrium patens, 1787 nucleotides. The record is from RefSeq and is a predicted model, not a curated record. Lineage: Eukaryota; Viridiplantae; Streptophyta; Bryopsida; Funariales; Funariaceae.
UACUUUGUUGCAGCUCUCCACCGAAGCACACAUCAUCUGCUGCAACCAUCGUGCGUGAUGGCUGUUGCUGUUCCCUGAAGUGAUUGUGAAUCACAUGCAUUGCUGCUGCUCUUCACACAAUUUCUGUUUUCUUCUUCUUGCUGGAUGCAGAAACUCCAGGUUUUCUGAGCUCUCCACUGUAAUCGUUAAUUUAAGUUUUUAUGUUGCAGAGGAAUGCUGAUGAAGGAGGUUAGGAGAAUUGUGCGGAUUCGGUAGAGGGGGAGGGGGUCGCUGCUCCAGGAGGUGGAAUUGUGGUGCACAGUGCGCCGGAGAGUACGUUGGAAUUGUUUCUGAUGGAUCCUGUUGGUGUUCAUUCUCAUCGGCAACGGGAACACUGUUACAGUGGUGGAGCUGCUGUACUUGAGCCCUACUAACACCAUCCUGACAGCUUGGGAACGCUUUCAUGCUGGAGCGCAAUUAACCUUUCUCAUCAUACCGUUGAAGCAGCUUUCACUGACUACGUCUCUACCACAGCUUGUGAAGUCACUUUAAAGGCAUCAUUUAUAUUUGGUCUUGAAUGUGGUAAGAAACUGAUUUGAUUCCGGAAGUGCAAGGUCGACGACAUUGUCCACAUGUUCAGGAGCAGGUUGAAAGUCCAUGCCGGAAGACUGCAGGAGGAUUCUAGAGCUAGUUAUUCAGGUACUCCAUCCAAGUCCCUUCUCAAGUAUAAUUUCAUAGCGCACACGUGCCAGAUGGUGUUUCACAUGUCAUAUGUUUGUCUCUUUCCUAGAUCCUUCAUUCGAUUACUAUACAAAAGCUAGAAUUGUGACCAGAUUCUUGAUGCGGCCAAAGGCUAGCGUUCCCCUCAAAAUCAACAAUGCUGUGGUUAAUUACCCCUAAUUCUUAUCUCUAACUCCGACAAUUUCUUGGAAAAACGUCGGAGCUCGCUUUCGACUAAUUAGUGAGCAUUGAUGCCUAAAUGUCUGGAUGGAAGGACUAAAUGUUGUUUGUUUUGCCGUCAAAUACAACUGACCCUUGUCAAGACAGGUUAUUAGCCCAUGAGUCUUGCAAAAUUCUUCCGUAUCAUCCUCCUUCAUUAGUAAAAGUUCGGCGAUAUCCCCCAGCAGGAAGGGGUGCGUUUUGUAUCCGCCGCAAUUUAUGGCCCUUAAAGCUAACGUGCGUAUCUCUCCAAAGUACAACUCCAUUAAGCAGCCUUGAAGGGGCCUGUAGCACCAGGGAUCGCACCCUGCGGAACCACAGUGCAAGCGGUUCGGCCUGCAACAUCGUGUCAGAUCACACCAUGUCAGAUCGUGCAAGCCAAUAAGAGUUCUAUUCAGCAUGUAAUGACUACUAGCUUGCGAACUCCACACCUGAACGAACCAUCGAUGUGCAAGCAUGAACUGCACAAAAAGACCAACCUUGGAAUGGCCUCUAUCUCCCAAGUUCAACAACACGUAGUAACCGUGAAAUUCUGCCUCGUGCGCCCAUCCAGAGCUUGCUUCAGCUUCAACGGCACUAUACAAGUUGAGGAGUGUGAGUAAAGAUUUGGAGAGCUGCUGGAGAUUCAGUUGCGAAUCUGCAUCAUUUCUAAGGCCUGCUAUUUGUUCCUGCAACUCCCUCUCUGACAUGAUGUGAAACCUCACCUGCAUACAAAUCAUCAAGUUAGGGGUUACUUAUUGCGCUAGCGGCACUAAUCCUCCUAGUCCAGCGAAGCAAGCAUGCAUGCCAGCGAUGAGUAUGCUAAGCCACUAAAAAGAACAAUUAUGAAGUUUGAACUGUACCAAGCACAACACUCACAAUUUCCUCAA